UGGGGUAUAUUGGACAAUGGACCGAGAGUCUGAUCCAGCACUUCUGUGUGCACGAUGUCGUUUUUCGGAAUGUAUAGUGCUUUCAGUUGGAAAGAAAAAGAUAACGGUACCAACAGAAGAUGUGACGGCUAAAUACGAGCCCGCAGCUGCGGUAAUACGUAUGUCACGAGCGUUAUCCGGUUUUAUUGGGCGUAAAGCGCGACUAGGUGGUUAUGUAAGUCUGAUGUGAAAAUGCAGGGCUCAACUCUGUAUUGCGUUGGAAACUGUAUAACUAGAGUACUGGAGAGGGAAGCGGAACUACAAGUGUAGAGGUGAAAUUCGUAGAGUUUUGUAGGAAUGCCGAUGGGGAAGCGAGCUUACUGGGCAGAUACGAACGCUAAAGCGCGAAGGCGGGGGGAGCAAAGAGG
This 407-nucleotide ribosomal RNA is filed under the name bacterium. RNAcentral's name for it is "partial 16S ribosomal RNA". It matches the Rfam family "Bacterial small subunit ribosomal RNA", at positions 355 to 776 of the family's 1533-position model. The record is from RNAcentral.